This is a non-coding RNA of Heterocephalus glaber (naked mole-rat), 2002 nucleotides long. The record is from RefSeq and is a predicted model, not a curated record. NCBI's taxonomy places the organism in Eukaryota, Metazoa, Chordata, Mammalia, Rodentia, Bathyergidae.
AAUAAAAAGAGAUUAGCUGUGUUAAAAUUCAAUGAAGAUGAAGUGGAGCUGACUUAUUCUCAGAUUUAAAGAGAAUAAUGAAAGACAUACAAGUGGAUAGGAAGAUUGUCCUUGAAAGGCAAACAAACAGGGAUGCAAGUAGGAUUUAGUUAUGAUCCUCCUAGCCUCAGACUGAGUCCACUGACAGAUGGGGAAGAGUCAAUGGGGGAUAAACAAGAGCCCACUUGCCAAGGAGUCAGUGGAUCCAGCUCUUGUUCCACUUCUACUAAUUCCUUGGUGACCUUGGGCCCUUUCUUUUGGCUAUGAGGCAAGUUUGACCUUUUGUUUUCUCACUUGUGAAAUCAGGACCCAGAGUCAGUGUUUUCAACUUCUGUAUGCAGAGCCCUCCUCUCCCCAACAUCACCAUAGGCUCCUGACCAGGGCACAAGCAGAGAUGAGAUGACAGCCAAGCAGAGAUGAAGAAACUGAGGCCCAGAGAAACUAAGUAACUUACCUCAAAUGAUAAAGGAAUUGAACUCAGGACCUUGUGCUUGCCAGGCAGGCAUGGCACCACUGAGCUAAAUUCCCAGCUCCUGUUUAUAGCCAGUUACAGAGGCUGUGAGAAAACCUGUGGGCACAGGAAGGGAAAGAUAAAGGAAACAGAGAGGCACUUCUGUGGAUGCUGAAGGAAGAUGGAGCACGAUUCCUCUAUCUCAUGGGCCAGGCCCUCCUGCUCCUGUGGAACAAAGCCAGACCCACAAGUGUAGCUAAGAAGGAUCCUGUCAGUAGAAGAGCCUAUUCUUCUACUGCUUAUCUUCAGGUCUGGAAGAGAGGGGAGUAUGUAUGUGCACGUGUGCAUGUUGAUGAGGGGCCCAGGAAGAGAGAGAGAGACAGAGACAGAGACAGAGAAUGCACACAGGAAGCAGAAGAGAGGCCCCACACCCUGUGGGCUGGCAAUAGAGUGGGGCUGUGAGCACCACGUGUCAUCUCUGGCCUCAGCCUUGAGGAUUGCUGGAACCUACUGGAGACAACUAGGAUCUUCUAGAUCCAUGGCUUGGGUAGAGGUGACAUGUAAUGAAUUAAAGUGGGCAAUGUCUGGAGGAGUUCAGAAGCUCAUUGUCUGUUGAUGAGGAGAGAGGAGAGAGGUAGGAGUGUAGUGUGGUUGGGGGAUGGUGGCAAGAAGGUAUGAGGUGACAAGCCUGGCCUAGGGUUGUGGCAACUGAAACAGAAGAGCAAAUUCUGGGUGAAGAAACAGCAGGCUUUGGAAAGAACACAGAAUAUUUGAAACAGAUUGUCUGGAGGCUGCCACAUGUGGAGGAACUAGCACUCAGUAGGAGAGGGUGGUGAUGGAAAUGUUGAGCUUGAGGUGCAAAGAAGCCAAGGUGAUCAAAGGGGUAAACUAGGCCAAGGUUGGACAAUAGGAUGUUAGUGGCUCGGGCAUGUGAAGUAGAGCCAUAAGAAUGAAUGAAAUCUAAAGCUGUGGAAAAGUUAUUUUCUUUGACUGUUAAGCGCUGUGUGAAGAGAGUCUCUGUCACAAUUUCAGGAUUCUCCUUCCACAGGUUGGAACUACUGUUUCCAUUUACAGAUGAGAAACUCUGAUCUUUGGAGAGGUGAAGUACAAGCCCAAGGCUGUACCUCUGGUAACUGGGGAACCUAGGUUUGUUUAGCUCCACUCUCAAGCUUUUAACCACCACGAUAUUCAGAAACGAGAGCUGUGCUCCAAGCCCUGUGCAUGUCCUCAGUCAGGGGAAGGAGACAGGGAAGAAAGCAGCACAGUGCCCAGCGAGGGGGGAUAACAGAGUCCAAAGGCCAAGGGCUGAGGGUCCCUUCCACAUAGGGGCCACCAGAUAACAGAUAAGAACAAAAAUAGACCUUCUCUUCCUAUUUACUACGAAAUUUGGAAAUACAAGUGAUUAUUUCUUUAGGUUUAAUCUGAAUUGUGUAUCUUACUUGGAAUGGAUUAAAAACCAAACCAAAGCAUGCAUAUAGUUUACCUGAAGCUGUCCCUGGAGGAGAAGCCGAC